AAAAAUUUAAAGUAAUGUUUGCUCAAUGCAUUGUAAAUAGCUGCAGGUGACUGUACUAAGGUAGCAUAAUCAUUAGAUUAUUAAUUGUAAUCAAGAAUAAAAGACAAAAUGAAUAAUAUUCUUUCUUCUAUAAAAAAUUCUAACCUAAUAUUUUUGUAAAAAAGCAAAAAUUUAAUUUAGGGACAAGAAGACCCUAAGAAGCUUUAAAUUUUAAAUUCAUAUAAAUGUUUAAAAAUUUUUUGUUGGGGCAACAUUUAAAAAAAAUAACAUUAAUUUUAUCCAAGACUCUUGAAAAAAAGAAAAAGUUACUCUAGGGAUAACAGCACAAUAAAAGAUAAAGAGAUCUUAUCUUCAUCUUUGAUUAUGACCUCGAUGUUGGAUCAAUUUUUCUAAUUGAUGAAAAAGUCAAUUAAGAAAGUCUGUUCGACUUUUAAAAAAUUACGUGAUCUGAGUUCAAAACCGGAGAAUCGA
RNAcentral lists this ribosomal RNA (471 nucleotides) under Troglosiro pseudojuberthiei. RNAcentral describes it as "partial large subunit ribosomal RNA". It matches the Rfam family "Bacterial large subunit ribosomal RNA", at positions 1841 to 2628 of the family's 2925-position model. Lineage: Eukaryota; Metazoa; Arthropoda; Arachnida; Opiliones; Troglosironidae. The record is from RNAcentral.